This 468-nucleotide ribosomal RNA is filed under the name uncultured bacterium. RNAcentral describes it as "partial 16S ribosomal RNA". It matches the Rfam family "Bacterial small subunit ribosomal RNA", at positions 28 to 507 of the family's 1533-position model. The record is from RNAcentral.
GACGAACGCUGGCGGCGUGCUUAACACAUGCAAGUCGAACGGAAAGGCCCUGCUUUUGUUGGGUGCUCGAGUGGCGAACGGGUGAGUAACACGUGAGUAACCUGCCCUUGACUUUGGGAUAACUUCAGGAAACUGGGGCUAAUACCGGAUAGGAGCUCCUGCUGCAUGGUGGGGGUUGGAAAGUUUCGGCGGUUGGGGAUGGACUGGCGGCUUAUCAGCUUGUUGGUGGGGUAGUGGCUUACCAAGGCUUUGACGGGUAGCCGGCCUGAGAGGGUGACCGGCCACAUUGGGACUGAGAUACGGCCCAGACUCCUACGGGAGGCAGCAGUGGGGAAUAUUGCACAAUGGGCGGAAGCCUGAUGCAGCAACGCCGCGUGCGGGAUGACGGCCUUCGGGUUGUAAACCGCUUUCGCCUGUGACGAAGCGUGAGUGACGGUAAUGGGUAAAGAAGCACCGGCUAACUACGUG